Molecule: ribosomal RNA, 375 nt
Filed under: uncultured bacterium
Lineage: Bacteria
Description: bacterial SSU rRNA
Rfam family: Bacterial small subunit ribosomal RNA
Source: RNAcentral
GCUGAGUAACACGUAGGAACAUACCCCAAAGUGAGGGAUAAGCACUGGUAACAGUGUCUAAUACCGCAUGUGAUCUAAGGAUUAAAGCUCCGGCGCUUUGGGAAUGGCCUGCGUAAGAUUAGCUAGAUGGUGAGGUAAUGGCUCACCAUGGCGACGAUCUUUAGCUGGUCUGAGAGGAUGACCAGCCAGACUGGGACUGAGACACGGCCCAGACUCCUACGGGAGGCAGCAGUGGGGAAUAUUGGACAAUGGGCGAAAGCCUGAUCCAGCCAUGCCGCGUGAGUGAAGAAGGCCUUAGGUUGUAAAGCUCUUUCAGCGGGGAAGAUAAUGACGGUACCCGCAGAAGAAGCCCCGGCUAACUUCGUGCCAGCAGCC